UGGAUUAGUGGCGAACGGGUGAGUAACACGUGAGUAACCUGCCCCUGACUCUGGGAUAAGCGUUGGAAACGACGUCUAAUACUGGAUAUGACUACUGGUCGCAUGGCCUGGUGGUGGAAAGAUUUUUUGGUUGGGGAUGGACUCGCGGCCUAUCAGCUUGUUGGUGAGGUAAUGGCUCACCAAGGCGACGACGGGUAGCCGGCCUGAGAGGGUGACCGGCCACACUGGGACUGAGACACGGCCCAGACUCCUACGGGAGGCAGCAGUGGGGAAUAUUGCACAAUGGGCGAAAGCCUGAUGCAGCAACGCCGCGUGAGGGAUGACGGCCUUCGGGUUGUAAACCUCUUUUAGUAGGGAAGAAGCGAAAGUGACGGUACCUGCAGAAAAAGCACCGGCUAACUACGUGCCAGCAGCCGCGGUAAUACGUAGGGUGCAAGCGUUGUCCGGAAUUAUUGGGCGUAAAGAGCUCGUAGGCGGUUUGUCGCGUCUGCUGUGAAAUCCCGAGGCUCAACCUCGGGCUUGCAGUGGGUACGGGCAGACUAGAGUGCGGUAGGGGAGAUUGGAAUUCCUGGUGUAGCGGUGGAAUGCGCAGAUAUCAGGAGGAACACCGAUGGCGAAGGCAGAUCUCUGGGCCGUAACUGACGCUGAGGAGCGAAAGCGUGGGGAGCGAACAGGAUUAGAUACCCUGGUAGUCCACGCCGU
This 702-nucleotide ribosomal RNA is filed under the name Curtobacterium sp. RNAcentral describes it as "bacterial SSU rRNA". It matches the Rfam family "Bacterial small subunit ribosomal RNA", at positions 88 to 803 of the family's 1533-position model. Lineage: Bacteria; Bacillati; Actinomycetota; Actinomycetes; Micrococcales; Microbacteriaceae. The record is from RNAcentral.